Molecule: long non-coding RNA, 2951 nt
Organism: Parus major (Great Tit)
Lineage: Eukaryota; Metazoa; Chordata; Aves; Passeriformes; Paridae
Exons: 2
Source: RefSeq, a predicted model, not a curated record
ACUCUUAGCCUGCCUGGCUGUGAACACACUGCAGUGAUCUCAUGAGGAGAAGCAUGGGACAGUCAUGAGAUGGCUCUGCUUGGGACCUGAGCCCUGGCUCCCCAUUAUGUUUGGGUUGAACUAGACAGUGUCAGGACAUUGGCUGGAGGGGCUGGAGCCCAGCAGCAGAGUCAGGCUCUGAGAGAGCUCCAAGGAGUGGAUGCCUGUCUCCCUGAUGAGUGCUCGUGGUGCCACAAGGGCAGUUCAGACCCAGAGUCCUUCCCUAGAGACCCUCAAGGAAGACCUGAGCCAUCACCCUGGGCCUGGCCCAGCAACAUGAAGGAAGGCCACUGCCUACACCCUUGUCUGAGCCUGUGAACAUGGUGUCUGAGGCCCAGCAGGCAUUUGAGGCACAGCAGUGUGGCAAGUGAUCUCUGUCAGCUUCAUCAUGGUGCCUGUGUAUGCAGAGGGCCUUAUUCUGGCACACUGCGAUGGAAAACUCAGCAGUGGGAACUGGAAGGAAGGUAAGUACCCACGGGACAAUCAGCGUGUAUGCACAGCUCUCACAUCCUCUCUGAGUCUCAAUUUCCACAGCAGAGAAAGGGACAUAAAGGACCUCCCCCUCUUCUUCAAAAACACAUUCAUAGAGCAGGCUCUGGGUCUUGCAUCACACCCAGGUGUCCACUGCCCAGGUCUGUAGGGCCAUUAUUGACUUACAGUAUUUAAACAUGGCUCUGCAAGUCCCUGGGGGUUCUCCUGGCAUUGAAUACUGAAGAUGCACACCUACAGAACUUGCUCACAGACCUGUAUUGAAGAUGGAAUGUCUGUGCAAGUGAUAUGUUCUACAGGAAGGCAGCACUGGACUCAGAGAACAGCCUUACACCAACUCUGUGCCCAAGCAAGGCAAUGAGCUGAAUGCUGGCUGAUUUGCUAUUCAGCAUCAGUGGCUGCUAUUGUCCUUGAGGGAAAUCAUUACCUUAUUACCUGGGCAGUCUUGGAGAGAUAAAGCCCUGCUCUGUUUUUCAGCCUGUCAAUGUGUUACAUCUCUCUCUAUUUAAAGUUAGAGGGUACAAAUACUUGGCAAGCCUAAUAUGAAGCAAUGACAGCUUCCAGACCUAAUAAAUUGAGAAGAAUUUAGGGAUUUAUUGUACAUUCAAAAUUGCUUGAAGACAAGACACAAUACUGUAAGGAGAUUCUUGAGAAUAAACCCUCAGGUAUUUUGAUUAUCGAGGCUUGCUUCCAGUUUAAUCACAUUUCCCUUUCUUCUCUAGAGGAAAAAAAAUCAUUACAGCCACCACCCCCAUUCUGCUCAGAGCUCUCCUUGCUGCUGUUUUCUUCAUCUCUUUGCCUGAGCAGCUUCUAGAAAGGGAGUUAAUUGGAUUGUUGAUUUUGUUUUAAAAUAUGGUUGGUGAUGUCAUGCUUAUCCAAGGGCCAACCCCCUACUCCCCCUUAAGCCCUUCCAGGGGUUACUGAUUUGUGACUGCAGCAGUUAUUAACUUUCAUGUCAUUAAAAUGCCUGAACAGAAAUUACUUGUUUGGAGGCAGCUUCCUGUCUCCUUACAGCUCACUGCUCAGGAUCUGCAUUCCUGUUUCUCCCCUGGGCUCAGCCAGAAGAGCCAUUUUCUCUCUGCUCUGUGGUUUCCUGGGUUCAGCUCUCCCCCAUCUGCCUUCUAACAUUGCUGCUCCCCACCUUGGGAGGCAGAAGGCCAGGUGAGAAAGGCCACAGUGGUGUAGGGAAUGAAGGGAAGGGUGGUGUUCAGGUGGACCACCUGACACCAGGACUUGACUUCACUCCCGCAAGGGAUGUACCACUACCUUGUGAAACAGCUCAGAACAGAGAGCUCCCCAGCCCUCCUGAGAGCACACCUCUGCAAGGUUUUAGCUCUGAGACUGCCCCUCUGAGGGUUUUCCUCCUAUGGAGCCCUCCUCUGAGGUGAACUGCCUGUAGCAGAGCGGCUCUGGGGCAUGAUGAGGCUGCACACAAUCAAAAAGGCUAUUCUGUGGCUAUGGGAAUGCAAGGCUGCAUGUUAGUGGAGACUACUGACAAGAGCCUUGUGAACAUUGCGAUAUCACCACUUGGAGGAAAAACAAGCAUUGUGGACACUGCUAUUUCCUCACUGUGGUCUCUGAGGAACCUGUAGAUGCUCCUUGAGAGAUGCAACACAGAGCCCUGUCUGUGAGAUACCUGUCAAGUUUGUUGCCAUAAUGCAAAGCCCAAGCUGCAGCUCACCUCAUCUGCUCCACAGGCUGCGCCCCUGCUUGGGAAAUGGGAUGUAUAAGUCUCAGGGAAAAUGGGACUUAGCUCAUUGAGAGAAAGACACACAGGGUCACACUUUCUUCCUCUUCUCUCCCUGACUGACACACAUGGCAGGGAGGAAAUGUCAUUUUGCAUAUCACCAUUCCCUGUUGCUCAGGUAGCUCCCACAUGGGAGGCAGGAAAGGGCACCAGAGCAUUGAAGCAGUUCAUAAUUUCACCCUCCCUCUCCCUGCAGUUGCAAAGAGCAAUUGCAUGGGGCUGGGAGGGCUAUUUUAGGCGGGUGCUGUGCCCCAGGGCUGGAGCAGGCUGCAGGGAAGGUCCGUGAGGGCACUGCCCUGUGCUUGCACCUGAGCACACAUUGGUGCACACAAACACACACAGAGCACAGGUCAGGCCCGGUGGGGAGCACGGGGGGCAUCAAGCACUUGGCUCCACUUGAAUGCUUACCCUGGAAACAGGCCAAGGACAGCACGUGUCCACAGGCACCAGAGCCCCUUCUCUGAGCCAUGGUCUACUUAGGUUGCCAUCCUGCAGGACAAGAGAGUCUUGGGCUGAACCAACUCACCACUGUCCCUCCCUGGUCUACCCAUUGAACUGAAUGCUCAGAUGUUCUGCCUCCAUGGCUGGCAGGAUUGGGGAUGAGGGAGGAGAAGGAAGCCUGUCUGAGGGUCAGGGGAGUGCUUCAGUAUCUGCCAUAUAAUGAACAAAUAGAAUU